RNAcentral lists this ribosomal RNA (497 nucleotides) under uncultured bacterium. Its description in RNAcentral is "partial 16S ribosomal RNA". It matches the Rfam family "Bacterial small subunit ribosomal RNA", at positions 28 to 507 of the family's 1533-position model. The record is from RNAcentral.
GACGAACGCUGGCGGCGUGCCUAAUACAUGCAAGUAGAACGCUGAAGAGAGGAGCUUGCUCUUCUUGGAUGAGUUGCGAACGGGUGAGUAACGCGUAGGUAACCUGCCUUGUAGCGGGGGAUAACUAUUGGAAACGAUAGCUAAUACCGCAUAACAAUGGAUGACACAUGUCAUUUAUUUGAAAGGGGCAAUUGCUCCACUACAAGAUGGACCUGCGUUGUAUUAGCUAGUAGGUGAGGUAAUGGCUCACCUAGGCGACGAUACAUAGCCGACCUGAGAGGGUGAGCGGCCACACUGGGACGGAGACACGGCCCAGACUCCUACGGGAGGCAGCAGUAGGGAAUCUUCGGCAAGGGGGGCAACCCUGACCGAGCAACGCCGCGGGAGGGAAGAAGGUUGUCGGGUCGGAAAGCUCUGUUGUAAGUCAAGAACGGGUGUGAGAGUGGAAAGUUCACACUGUGACGGUAGCUUACCAGAAAGGGACGGCUAACUACGUG